AACGAACGCUGGCGGCAUGCCUAACACAUGCAAGUCGAACGAGACCUUCUGGUCUAGUGGCGCACGGGUGCGUAACGCGUGGGAACCUGCCCUUAGGUUCUGAAUAACUCCCCGAAAGGGGUGCUAAUACCGGAUAAUGUCUUCGGACCAAAGAUGUAUCGCCUUUGGAUGGGCCCGCGUUGGAUUAGCUAGUUGGUAGGGUAUAAGCCUACCAAGGCGACGAUCCAUAGCUGGUCUGAGAGGAUGAUCAGCCACACUGGGACUGAGACACGGCCCAGACGCGUAGGGGAGGCAGCAGUGGGGAAUAUUGGACAAGGGGCGAGAGGCUGAUCCAGCAAUGCCGCGUGAGUGAUGAAGGCGUUAGGGUUGUAAAGCUCUUUUAACCGGGAUGAUAAUGACAGUACCGGGAGAAUAAGCUCCGGCUAACUCCGUG
Molecule: ribosomal RNA, 433 nt
Filed under: uncultured bacterium
Lineage: Bacteria
Description: partial 16S ribosomal RNA
Rfam family: Bacterial small subunit ribosomal RNA
Source: RNAcentral